GACAGAGGUCUCAAGCGUUGUUCGGAUUCAUUGGGCGUAAAGGGCGUGUAGGCGGCGCGCUAAGUCGGGUGUGAAAUUUCGGAGCUUAACUCCGAAACUGCAUUCGAUACUGCGGUGCUUGAGGACUGGAGAGGAGACUGGAAUUCAUGGUGUAGCAGUGAAAUGCGUAGAGAUCAUGAGGAAGACCAGUGGCGAAGGCGGGUCUCUGGACAGUUCCUGACACUGAGACACGAAGGCCAGGGGAGCAAACGGG
RNAcentral lists this ribosomal RNA (253 nucleotides) under uncultured bacterium. RNAcentral's name for it is "partial 16S ribosomal RNA". It matches the Rfam family "Bacterial small subunit ribosomal RNA", at positions 524 to 776 of the family's 1533-position model. The record is from RNAcentral.